UGCCAGCCGCCGCGGUAAUACGGAGGGUGCAAGCGUUGUUCGGAUUUACUGGGCGUAAAGAGCGCGUAGGCGGCUUCAUAAGUUAAGGGUGAAAUCCCGGGGCUUAACUCCGGAACUGCUCUUGAAACUGUGGAGCUAGAGGCAGUCAGAGGUGGGUGGAAUUCCAGGUGUAGAGGUGAAAUUCGUAGAUAUCUGGAGGAACACCGGUGGCGAAGGCGGCCCACUGGGAUUGUUCUGACGCUGAGGCGCGAAGGCGUGGGUAGCGAACGGGAUUAGAUA
RNAcentral lists this ribosomal RNA (279 nucleotides) under uncultured bacterium. RNAcentral describes it as "partial 16S ribosomal RNA". It matches the Rfam family "Bacterial small subunit ribosomal RNA", at positions 506 to 784 of the family's 1533-position model. The record is from RNAcentral.